Molecule: unclassified non-coding RNA, 379 nt
Filed under: uncultured Gammaproteobacteria bacterium
Lineage: Bacteria; Pseudomonadati; Pseudomonadota; Gammaproteobacteria
Description: contains 16S-23S intergenic spacer region
Source: RNAcentral
UCCGAUUCGUCACCGGCAGUCCCAUUAGAGUGCUCAACUAAAUGUAGCAACUAAUGGCAAGGGUUGCGCUCGUUGCGGGACUUAACCACUACAUCUCACGACACGAGCUGACGACAGCCAUGCAGCACCUGUGUUCGCGUUCCCUUGCGGGCACUCUCACAUCUCUGCAAGAUUCGCGACAUGUCAAGGGUAGGUAAGGUUUUUCGCGUUGCAUCGAAUUGAACCACAUCAUCCACCGCUUGUGCGGGUCCCCGUCAAUUCCUUUGAGUUUUAAUCUUGCGACCGUACUCCCCAGGCGGUCAACUUCACGCGUUAGCUGCGUUACUAAGAAAAUUCACUUUCCCAACAACUAGUUGACAUCGUUUAGGGCGUGGACUAC